CGACCAAUACCACCAGGACCACCAUCAAUGCCACCAAUACCAACACCAAAACUACGGAUACCAGCGCCAAAAAACACAAAUACCAAUACCACCAGCAACAGCCACCAACACCACCACAAACACCAUCCAACAAUACCACGACAAUCAACAAAACACUGAGAGAAAAACUAGGGUUUUCUUGAGUGCUUACUACUUUUUUAG
This 201-nucleotide long non-coding RNA is filed under the name Capsicum annuum. RNAcentral describes it as "long non-coding RNA (CANN_LNC003298)". Lineage: Eukaryota; Viridiplantae; Streptophyta; Magnoliopsida; Solanales; Solanaceae. The record is from RNAcentral.